This 2984-nucleotide long non-coding RNA is filed under the name Marmota monax (woodchuck). Lineage: Eukaryota; Metazoa; Chordata; Mammalia; Rodentia; Sciuridae. The record is from RNAcentral.
GUUCUUAACUCUUUUGUAUAUAAAUGCACAUCUGUUUCCUCCCAAGGGCAAAUCAGGGGUUUGGUACUAAUUUAUCUGCACCGCAUCAUCCUCCCCAAGGGCACUAUCAGCAGACAGACAUUUACAAGAUACCCAGUGGAAUUUAACCAGUGAUUGGGAUACAGCAAAGCCAAAUGGCCCUAAUGACAAUUAGUUUUCACUUUGAUGAUGGCAGUGAGCAUGGAAAGUAAUGGACAAAUACAGGAUAGUCUUUUUGAGGUCAAGUCUGCAAGCCACUAGACCUCUCUCAAUUCAAUUGUCUGUUGAAACCAAACUCUCACAGAGUAUCUAAUGGAGGAAAAGAAAAUAAAGAGCCAUUUACUAAGCAUAUUCACCAAAAAAAAAAACAAUGUUUCAAUAUUAAUGAAGGUUUAGAUUAAAAUUUAGGAUGGUUCUACUCCUUUAAAUCCCUUAGCACUCACACCCUGUCCCUAAAACCUUUCAUAAUUAUACUAGUUUUUCAUGAUAUAGAAAGUGAAUGUGAUAUCAAAAGUCAAAACAGUACAAGUAGCUUUUUGUAUAAAUGCUGGAAAGUAUCUCCUGUUACUUCAAGGACUAGGAAGGAUUUAGACUUCCACAUGUAAAAUGAUCGUGGCCUCUUUUCUAGGCUUUGUAAAUUGACCUUUUGGGGUAUAACUUUCAUAGGUCAGUUGGCCCACCAGAGUAAUUAAAUUAAAGAGUUCCAUACUCUGCUGAGUUUUGGUGGAGUUUUAUCCUGUGCAUUUGAAUGAGUAGGAUAAAGCUUUAUAUUACAUAUUUCACAUAUUCCUUACUGCCUACCUCCAUUCCAGCCUGGCUUCUAGCCUUUGGAAGAAAAUGUCUCUAGUACCCUGAUGCCAUGUGUUCCUUCAGCUUCUGAUCACAUUGCUUUCUCUUCAUUGCUGCAGUGGACCCACAUUCACCUUCUCUGUCAAGACAAACUCCUGGUCCUCUGUUAGGAGGACCUGCUCAAGUCUGGCUUUCAUUAGCACUGCAUGUCUCUGUUCUGUUUUACCUCCAUUCUCCUCUUUCAUGUGAAAACUACAAAAGGCUUUUUCACUCACCUUUUCUUAAGCUCCUUAAGCUCUCUAAUGCCUGUGUAAGUAUGCACGUGGAUGGAAUAAUACUCAAGAUAUAUACAAGGUAUUGUCAAACAUAAUGACAUUUUAUUAGGCUUUUUUUUUCCAGGUAAACACAUUUAACCAAAUCGCAAAUUAUAUUGCUCUUAAAGCUACACAGAAAAUCCCAGCAGAUAGGACUUCUGAGGUUUGGUGCAGUAGUUUGUCUUGAUGGCCUCAUGUACACAGUCACUAUAAUCAGUGUUACAUUUGCCGCAUUUGCAGCUUACAGCGACAGGGUAGGAGAAAUAUGGAGCAACAUGAUGUGGGCAUCCUGGUAUUUCUACAGUCCUGUAGAUGAAGUCUCUAUAUGUACACACAUCUUGGGAGAGGGCAUAUUUGGGAAGAAACAGCUUGCCGUUGAUAUCCUGAGAAUGAAUACAUAAGAGAGCAUAAUAUGAUAGGACUUUAGAAAACAUAGAUAAUGGAAACAGAUGAAUGCUGAUUCAUUAUAUUUCUUUUUCUUUUUUGUUUUUUUAAUUCUAAUUUGUUAUAUAUGACAGAAGAAUGCAUUACAAUUCAUAUUGCACAUAUAGAGCAUAAUUUUUCAUAUCUCUGUCUGUAUACAAAGUAUAUUCACAGCAUUCGUGUCUUCAUACAUGUACUAAGGGUAAUGAUGUCUAACUCAUUCCACUAUCUUUUUCACCCCCAUGCUCCCUCCCUUUCCCUCCCACCCCCUUUGCCCUAUCUAGAGUUUGUCUAAUCCUCCCCAUGCUCCUCCCUCCAAACCCCACUAUGAAUCAACUUCCUUAUAUCAGAGAAAACAUUUGGUAUUUGGUUUUCGGGAUUGGCUAACUUCACUUAGCAUUAUACUCUCCAACUCCAUCCAUUUACCUACAAAUGCCAUGAUUUUAUUGCUGAGUAAUAUUCCAUUGUGUAUAUAUACCACAUUUUCUUUAUCCAUUCAUCUACUGAAGGGCAUCUAGGUUGGUUCCACAGUUUAGCUAUUGUGAAUUGUGCUGCUAUAAACAUUGAUGUGGCUGUGUCCCUGAAGUAUGCUGGGUUUUUUUUGUUUGUUUGUUUUUUAAAAAAAAUAUUAUAUUGUAAGUUGUAGUUGGACACAAUAUCUUUAUUUCAUUUAUGUGGUGCUAAGGAUCAAACCCAGGGCCUCCCACGUGCUAGUCGAGUGCUCUACCGCUGAGCCACAACCCAGCCCCAAGUAUGCUGUUUUUAAAUCCUUUGGGUAUAGACUGAGGAGUGGGAUAGCUAGGUCAAAUGGUGGUUCCAUUCUUUGUCACAAAUAACAACUAAGAGAGGAUUCCUUUACCCUGUUCCCCAAUAACACAUCUACACUGAAUCCUACAGAGACAAAACUGAUACCUUCCUUUCUUUUAUCCCUGAUUAUGGGAAUAAGAUAAGCUUAAACAAAUAUGGAUAGCAAAACUAUUAUAAAUUUAUCUGUACCCAUUUUGCUGAGUAAAUCCACAUAAUAUUAUAAACUGUGUGCUCUACUUUUAAGGAGCCAAUAAUCAUUGGAUUUGGAAAAUGAGGUUGUCAUUUACCUCAUUUCCUUUACAGAUAGGAAUGAACUGCUUCUAUGUUUAUAUAAUUUAUGUCCAAAAGUGAGAUGAACUACAUACCCGUGUCAUACAAUAUCCAGCACAGAUGGUGGUGUUGAUGGUUAGGCAAUAAGCACACUCUCUCCUAUCGACAUGCAUUGUAUACUCGGUUGGAAUACAAAAAGUCAUUGCUUGCCCACAUGCAAGACCAAAAAGCAUGGACAUCAGGAAGAUGGCAGUCAUGCUAAAAUAAAAGAUAAAAUUUAAAAACCUAUUACAUGUAUUCUUUCAGAACAUUUGGAAGACACAUUUGGGAAAAGCUUACAUGUUUUUAUAUACUUAAUACNCU